AUGAACAUAGAUGGAGCACGGUGGGUGGUCACUGAAUAUUUUGACGAGCACAACCACGAACUCAUAAAUAAGUUCAACCUAGUAAAAUUUCUGACCGCCCACAGAGGAUUCACCCCCCUCGAGAAGAAAUUCAUAAAGCUGCUACAUGAUUGUAACGUCGGUCCAUCAAGAAUGGUCCAGAUACUAUCCCUCAUCCACAACAAAAAUGAGACUCUGAGUAGCAUGCCCUACAUACCAGCUGACGUCACAAACCUAAAGGCAAAGUAUCGUAGAGAGAGCAAGUUGGCUGACAUAGAGGCCACAAUGGCCUACUUCGAUGAGAAAGCGAAGGAAGAUCCAGAUUUCUUCUACAUGAUAAGAUUGGACGAUGAGGACCGUGUCAGGAACAUGUAUUGGGUGGAUGGUGCUGCAAGAAGAGCCUACAAACAUUUUCGAGAUUGCAUUUCAUUCGACGCGACAUAUCUCACUAAUAUGUACAAGAUGCCAUGUGCGCCAUUCAUAGGAAUAAAUAACCACAACACGGAUGGGUACACUUGGCUGUUUAAGACCUUCUUGGAGUGCAUGGAUGGACUUGCUCCGAUGAACAUAAUAAUAGACCAGGAUUUUAGCAUGCGUGCAGGCAUAGAGGAGGUCUUUCCGUUGGCAGUGCACAAGCAGUGCAGGUGGCACAUUAUAAAGAAGGCUGAGGAGAUGCUGGGACCAUUCUUUGCCUCGACAAGCUAAGGCGAAUACUACCGCCAAUGCUGCAAAUUCGAAUGGGACGGCAUUGUGUGCUGUCACAUACUAAAAGUAAUGGACAUGAACGUGGUGACACGAAUGCCCCGCCAUUUCAUAAGGCGGCGAUGGACUUGGGACGCUGACGACGCAUUGGCGCCGCAAACAUCAAACACAGUUUUGGCUGUGCAUGAUGAGAGACCGGAGUCAACCAUGGAAGCCGCGAGGCACGUUGUGUUGACAAAGAACUAUGCUGAACUAAUUGAUGAAGUGUGCAAGAGUGAUGAGACAGCGAGGGUCGCAGAAAAACACAGGAAGGCCCUGAAAAGAGAGCUUGAUGAGAUCAAGAAGAGGAAAGUUGAGGAAGCCUUACACAGGUUCCCCCGCACAUCGAGUGUGCCUUCGUCCACGGGGCCAUCAUCUGAAAACUCGGAGGUAGGAUCUGGAACAGCAAGCACACAAACCCAGGUCAGAAACCUGCCCCGUUCCAUCACAAAAGGGCGUCCAAAAGAGAUAAGAUACAAAUCGGGAUUGGAGAUUCAAGCAAAACACAAGAAAACAAAGAAAGGGAUGGGCAAACCGUAA
RNAcentral lists this ribosomal RNA (1299 nucleotides) under Triticum aestivum (bread wheat). Its description in RNAcentral is "partial small subunit ribosomal RNA". Lineage: Eukaryota; Viridiplantae; Streptophyta; Magnoliopsida; Poales; Poaceae. The record is from RNAcentral.